RNAcentral lists this ribosomal RNA (240 nucleotides) under uncultured Actinomycetales bacterium. RNAcentral's name for it is "partial 16S ribosomal RNA". It matches the Rfam family "Bacterial small subunit ribosomal RNA", at positions 88 to 334 of the family's 1533-position model. The record is from RNAcentral. Lineage: Bacteria; Bacillati; Actinomycetota; Actinomycetes; Actinomycetales.
UGGAUUAGUGGCGAACGGGUGAGUAACACGUGAGUAACCUGCCUCCACUUUGGGAUAACUCCGAGAAAUCGGGGCUAAUACUGGAUAUGACCUUGGCCCGCAUGGUUUGGUGGAAAGUUUUCGGUGGUGGAUGGGCUCGCGGCCUAUCAGUUUGUUGGUGAGGUAGUGGCUCACCAAGGCGAUGACGGGUAGCCGGCCUGAGAGGGCGACCGGCCACACUGGGACUGAGACACGGCCCAG